This is a transfer RNA of Novosphingobium pentaromativorans, 74 nucleotides long. It matches the Rfam family "tRNA". Rfam says of the family: Transfer RNA (tRNA) molecules are approximately 80 nucleotides in length. The record is from Rfam. NCBI's taxonomy places the organism in Bacteria, Pseudomonadati, Pseudomonadota, Alphaproteobacteria, Sphingomonadales, Sphingomonadaceae.
CGGGGAGUGGCGCAGUCCGGUAGCGCGCCUGCUUUGGGAGCAGGAUGUCGCAGGUUCGAAUCCUGUCUCCCCGA